RNAcentral lists this ribosomal RNA (278 nucleotides) under uncultured archaeon. RNAcentral describes it as "partial 16S ribosomal RNA". It matches the Rfam family "Archaeal small subunit ribosomal RNA", at positions 87 to 349 of the family's 1478-position model. The record is from RNAcentral.
GGCUCAGUAACAAGUAGUCAAUCUGCCCUAAGGACGGGAGCAACCUCGGGAAACUGAGGUCAAUUCCCGAUGGCCCAUCUAUGCUGGAAUGCUUGAUGGGCAAAAUGGCGCGCGAAUUGGAGCGCGUCCGCCUUAGGAUGAGACUGCUCCUGAUUAGGUAGUUGGUGAGGUAACGGCUCACCAAGCCGAUAAUCAGUAGGGGCAAUGGGAGUUGUCGCCCCGAGAAGGACACUGAGACAAGGGUCCUAGUCCUACGGGAUGCAGCAGGCGCGAAACCU